This 319-nucleotide ribosomal RNA is filed under the name uncultured eukaryote. RNAcentral's name for it is "partial 18S ribosomal RNA". It matches the Rfam family "Eukaryotic small subunit ribosomal RNA", at positions 1470 to 1796 of the family's 1831-position model. The record is from RNAcentral.
CCCCUAGAUGUUCUGGGCCGCACGCGCGCUACACUGAACAGUUCAACAAGUCUUAACCUUGGCCGAUAGGUCUGGGUAAUCUUUGAACGCUGUUCGUGAUUGGGAUAGACCUUUGCAAUUAUGGGUCUUCAACGAGGAAUGCCUAGUAAGCGCAGGUCAUUAGCCUGCGCUGAUUACGUCCCUGCCCUUUGUACACACCGCCCGUCGCUACUACCGAUUUCGAGUGGUCCGGUGAAGCUUUUGGACUGCGCGUGGCUUCGUGCCGUGUCGCGGAAAGUCAGCUAAACCUUAUCACUUAGAGGAAGUAAAAGUCGUAACA